Molecule: non-coding RNA, 256 nt
Organism: Pelobates cultripes (western spadefoot toad)
Lineage: Eukaryota; Metazoa; Chordata; Amphibia; Anura; Pelobatidae
Source: the annotation of a GenBank genome assembly
AAGAGUGCCAACUUACAAUAAAAAGAGCUAUAACCAGCUCUAAGUAAAACAGCAUACAGUGGUAUUUAAACUCCCCACAUGUAGGAUAUCCUUCUGGUGAUGUAUGGAGUGCAGGAUUUAUGAAAGACAAAAGCACAAAAGAGAGCCCACAGUGUUCUCAGUAGAUAAAAUUGGUGCUAAAAGGUAAAAUGAAACGUACUUACAGUGUAUAGAGCAGCCACACUGCUCUAUGAACCAGGCGUGAGUGGAAUAAUCC